UUCUUCAGGGCAGGGUGCAAUUCCCGACCGGCGGUAUAGUCCGCGACCCGUGCAGCGCACGGCAGAAUCGGUGCAACUCCGAUACCGACAGUAUAGUCUGGAUGGAAGAAGGCA
Molecule: non-coding RNA, 114 nt
Filed under: chicken gut metagenome
Description: FMN riboswitch (RFN element)
Rfam family: FMN riboswitch aptamer (RFN element)
About the family: The RFN element is a highly conserved domain that is found frequently in the 5'-untranslated regions of prokaryotic mRNAs that encode for flavin mononucleotide (FMN) biosynthesis and transport proteins.
Source: RNAcentral